GAGUAUGGAAGAAAGAUGCAAUUGUAUCGUCUGGAGAUGAGCCUGCGGUCCAUUAGCUUGUUGGUAGGGUAAAGGCCUACCAAGGCGACGAUGGAUAGCCGGCCUGAGAGGGUGAUCGGCCACACUGGGACUGAGACACGGCCCAGACUCCUACGGGUGGCAGCAGCUAAGAAUCUUCCGCAAUGGGCGAAAGCCUGACGGAGCGACGCCGCGUGAACGAGGAAGGCCGAAAGGUUGUAAAGUUCCUUUCUUAGGGAAGAAUAAUGCAAGGAGUGGAAAGCUUUGCAGAUGACAUUAACUGAGGAAUAAGCCCCGGCCAAUUACGUGCCAGCAGCCGCGGUAAUACGUAUGGGGCGAGCGUUGUUCGGAAUUAUUGGGCGUAAAGGGCGUAUAGGCGGUUUUAUAAGCCUGGUGUGAAAUACCACAGCUCAACUGUGGAUACGCGCUGGGAACUGUAAGACUAGAGUUCAGGAGGGGAAGCUGGAAUUCCUGGUGUAGGGGUGAAAUCUGUAGAUAUCAGGAAGAACACCGAUGGCGAAGGCAAGCUUCUAGCCAUGGACUGACGCUGAGGCGCGAAAGCGUGGGGAGCGAACAGGAUUAGAUACCCUGGUAGUCCACGCCCUAAACGGUGCGUACUAGGUGUGGGUGGCGAUAGUCAUCCGUGCCGUAGGGAAACCAUUAAGUACGCCGCCUGGGGAGUACGGCCGCAAGGUUGAAACUCAAAUGAAUUGACGGGGGCCCGCACAAGCGGUGGAGCAUGUGGUUUAAUUCGACGCUACGCGCAGAACCUUACCUAGGCUUGACAUGUUAGUGGUAGGAACCCGAAAGGGUGACGACCUACUCUUCGGAGUAGGGGCUUUCACAGGUGCUGCAUGGCUGUCGUCAGCUCGUGCCGUGAGGUGUUGGGUUAAGUCCCGCAACGAGCGCAACCCUCAUCCUUUGUUGCCCUUAACGGGGCUCUCUAAGGAAACUGCCGGCGAAGAGCCGGAGGAAGGUGGGGAUGACGUCAAGUCCGCAUGGCCCUUAUGCCUAGGGCUACACGCGUGCUACAAUGGCAGAUACAAAGGGUGGCCAAGCCGCGAGGUGGAGCCAAUCUCAUAAAGUCUGUCCAAGUUGGGAUCGGAGUCUGCAAUUCGACUCCGUGAACCUGGAAUCGCUAGUAAUCGUGGAUCAGAACGCCACGGUGAAUACGUUCCCGGGCCUUGUACACACCGCCCGUCACACCACGAAAGUCUGUUGUACCCGAAGUGGGUGAGCCAACCAGCAAUGGAGGCAGCUUCCUAAGGUAUGGCCGGUAAUUGGGGUGAAGUCGUAACAAGGUA
This 1322-nucleotide ribosomal RNA is filed under the name metagenome. RNAcentral describes it as "bacterial SSU rRNA". It matches the Rfam family "Bacterial small subunit ribosomal RNA", at positions 192 to 1498 of the family's 1533-position model. The record is from RNAcentral.